AAAAUACAUUACUUAUAUAGGAGAAUGAGAAUGGUGGAAACAUAAAGCUUGCUAGUUCUCUUGAAGUUCUUCUUGAAGCUUGCAGAGACAUUCAAUUCCAUGAGAAUGAGAAUGGUGGAGACAUAAACCUUGUUACUGCUAUUAACAUAUGGCAUCAAGUAUCAUCUAGUAUAUCAAGUGACAAGGCAAGAUGAAGUGUGUAUUACAAAAGCAGCAAUUUGAGAACUAUGGAGAGCCAUAGAUGAAGAUAAAUUUGUAUCUAUCAUAUUGAUUUUGUGACAUUUAUAUUCUAUGUAAAACAAAUU
Molecule: long non-coding RNA, 305 nt
Organism: Arabidopsis lyrata subsp. lyrata
Lineage: Eukaryota; Viridiplantae; Streptophyta; Magnoliopsida; Brassicales; Brassicaceae
Exons: 3
Source: RefSeq, a predicted model, not a curated record